Molecule: small nucleolar RNA, 107 nt
Organism: Zingiber officinale
Lineage: Eukaryota; Viridiplantae; Streptophyta; Magnoliopsida; Zingiberales; Zingiberaceae
Source: RefSeq, a predicted model, not a curated record
AGGCCAUGGUGAGGGCACUAUAACAAAAAUCCCUUGAGUCUUUCCCAAGCUGUAACCAACGACUCCCCUUCAGCCUGUUGGAAAUUUAUUAUUUGACUUCUCAUUUU